Molecule: ribosomal RNA, 478 nt
Filed under: uncultured bacterium
Lineage: Bacteria
Description: bacterial SSU rRNA
Rfam family: Bacterial small subunit ribosomal RNA
Source: RNAcentral
UGGCUCGAGGACGAACGCUGGGCGGCGUGCCUAACACAUGCAAGUCGAACGGAGUUAAGACGUUCGGGACUCGACUUAGUGGGCGAACGGGUGAGUAACGCGAGAGAAACCCUACCUUCAGGUGGGGACAACAGUUGGAAACGACUGCUAAUACCGCAUGAUGUAUUCGGAGGGCAUCCUUUGAAUACCAAAGCUUUAUGUGCUGAAAGAUGGUCUCGCGUCUGAUUAGCUAGUUGGUGGGGUAACGGCUCACCAAGGCGACGAUCAGUAGCCGGUCUGAGAGGAUGAACGGCCACAUUGGGACUGAGACACCGGACCCAAACUCCUACGGGGAGGCAGCAGGUGGGGAAUAUUGCACAAUGGGGGAAACCCUGAUGCAGCGACGCCGCGUGAGUGAUGAAGUAUUUCGGUAUGUAAAACUCUAUCAGCAGGGAAGAUAAUGACGGUACCUGACUAAGAAGCUCCGGCUAAAUACGUG